Molecule: ribosomal RNA, 288 nt
Filed under: uncultured bacterium
Lineage: Bacteria
Description: partial 16S ribosomal RNA
Rfam family: Bacterial small subunit ribosomal RNA
Source: RNAcentral
GUGGAUUAGAUACCCUGGUAGUCCUGGCAGUAAACGGUGCACGCUUGGUGUGAGGGGAUUCGACCCCCCUUGUGCCGGAGCUAACGCGUUAAGCGUGCCGCCUGGGAAGUACGGUCGCAAGACUAAAACUCAAAGAAAUUGACGGGGACCCGCACAAGCGGUGGAGUAUGUGGCUUAAUUCGAUGCAACGCGAAGAACCUUACCAAGGCUUGACAUGGAUUUCUAAGCACGUGAAAGCGUGUGACCCUUCGGGGGACUUCCACAGGUGCUGCAUGGCCGUCGACAGCU